AUGCUAUUAUUGAUGUUGUUGGCAGGGCUAGUAUUGUUGGAACUUGUGGUGUAGUGUUGGUGGUGGGUUUGGCAUGGUUGGAACUUGUGGUAUGGUGUGGUUUAGAUGGUGAGUGCUUCUUAGCUUAAAAAUAGUGGAGUCCGAACAAUCAGCACAGGAGUAAGGGAGAAAAAAACUAAAAAGUUUAAAGUGAAUAAGAAGAGAAGAGUUGGUUACCAAAAUUUAAAAAAUAUGUGCUG
This 239-nucleotide long non-coding RNA is filed under the name Capsicum annuum. Its description in RNAcentral is "long non-coding RNA (CANN_LNC000491)". Lineage: Eukaryota; Viridiplantae; Streptophyta; Magnoliopsida; Solanales; Solanaceae. The record is from RNAcentral.